GAUGAACGCUAGCGGCAGGCCUAAUACAUGCAAGUCGGACGGGAUUCAGGAGCUUGCUUCUGAUGAGAGUGGCGCACGGGUGCGUAACACGUAUGUAACCUACCUUUAUCAGGGGGAUAGCCUCUCGAAAGAGAGAUUAAGCCCGCAUAAAAUCACAGCACAGCAUUGUGUAAUGAUCAAAUAUUUAUAGGAUAAAGAUGGGCAUGCGGAACAUUAGCUAGAUGGCGGGGUAACGGCCCACCAUGGCGACGAUGUUUAGGGGAUCUGAGAGGAUGGCCCCCCACACUGGUACUGAGACACGGACCAGACUCCUACGGGAGGCGGCAGUAAGGAAUAUUGGUCAAUGGGCGGAAGCCUGAACCAGCCAUGCCGCGUGCAGGAAGACGGCCCUACGGGUUGUAAACUGCCUUUAUACGGGAAUAAACCCAGACACGUGUAUCUGGCUGAAUGUACUGUAAGAAUAAGGAUCGGCUAACUCCGUG
This 482-nucleotide ribosomal RNA is filed under the name uncultured bacterium. RNAcentral describes it as "partial 16S ribosomal RNA". It matches the Rfam family "Bacterial small subunit ribosomal RNA", at positions 28 to 507 of the family's 1533-position model. The record is from RNAcentral.